RNAcentral lists this ribosomal RNA (305 nucleotides) under uncultured bacterium. Its description in RNAcentral is "bacterial SSU rRNA". It matches the Rfam family "Bacterial small subunit ribosomal RNA", at positions 337 to 635 of the family's 1533-position model. The record is from RNAcentral.
GCCUACGGGGCGCAGCAGUAGGGAAUUUUCGUCAAUGGGCGCAAGCCUGAACGAGCAAUGCCGCGUGAACGAGGAAGGUCUUCGGAUCGUAAAGUUCUGUUGAAGGGGAAAAAGAGCGGAGAGAGGAAAUGCUUUCUGACUGAUAUUACCCUUCGAGGAAGUCACGGCUAACUACGUGCCAGCAGCCGCGGUAAUACGUAGGUGGCGAGCGUUAUCCGGAAUGAUUGGGCGUAAAGGGUGCGUAGGCGGCCUGCUAAGUCUGGAGUGAAAGGUACCGGCUCAACCGGUACAGGCUCUGGAAACUG